UAUUCAACUUUGACCUGGUGGAGGUAACAGAGAGAGAUGCAGAGCUUCACUGGAGUGACCUCACAUUCGUAAACUCCUCCCACCCUGCCCCCCAGCUCUAUGUCCAAUACCAAGUAGAGGAGGAAAAGGAGGAAAAACAUGGGGAAGAGAAGGAGAGGUGGACUGCAGGCCGUGUCCCAGUGUCUCUAUUCUCCAGAGGGCUGAAAGUGCCAGGCCUGUCCCCAGGCAAGGUCUACUCUCUGUCCCUCAGAGCCUCCCACCUUACUGGGGCCGCAUGGAGCCUGGGGAGCGCGCAGACUUGUCACACACGGCCCCUUCCCCCUCGAAACGUCACCAUUAGCAACAUGACAGCCAGUCAGAUCACAGUAAGCUGGACAGCCCCAGACUCCCAGCAUGCUGUGUGGUGGAGCUUUCUGGUUCGCUGGGAGGGUGUAGCCUCAGGCCAGGAGACGAGAAUGGUUGUGGCUAGCAGCUCCAGGUCCGCUGUGAUUGCAGGACUGGAGGGGUUCAGGAAGUACAAGGUCAGAGUUGACUCAGUCACAGAACACGGUGUGGAGAGCUGUGGAGGGGAGGAACUGACCCUAUACACUGCGGUGAGCCCCCCAGGUGGUGUGGUUGUGUCUAGCAGAGGGGAGAAACUGACAGCGUGCUGGUCCGCCCCGUCAGGUGAAAGCCCUGAUGGGUACUAUGUUAGGCUACGCCCCGUCAGCCAGGCCCGCCCCAUGGAACUGUGGGUAAAUGAGUCCAGGUGUGUGUUCCUGGCCAUAUUCAGUCCAGGGCAGAACUACGAGGUGGGUGUGGCUUCAGUGAGAGGAGAGAACAAGAGCCAAGAGAUCAGCACCACAUACAGAACAGAGCCUGGGCCCGUGCAGGCAGCUGUCCCUCUCUCGGUCGGAAGCAGUUCUGUGGUUCUGUAUGUCCAGAGACCAGUACUGGGUGUGUGUGAUGGAGUGAGGGUGUGUGUGUGUAAGGGAGUGUGUGAGGGUGUGUGUGUGUGUAAGGGUGUAUGCGAUUGGUGGCCAUUCCCCCAGGUAAGCACACAGUAACAGUUGGCAGCCUGACUCCAGGGACGGAGUACCAUCUCAGUGUUUACAGCACCAGCCGACACAGGACCGGACCAGCAUACCAAACACACACACUCAGGACACGUGAGUACACACAAACACACUCAUAUUUCCAUCUCCUCAGAUGAUUUUGACGGUGAUGAAGUGUGUGUAUGUACAGUUGAAGUCGGAAGUUUACAUACACCUC
RNAcentral lists this long non-coding RNA (1251 nucleotides) under Salmo salar (Atlantic salmon). Its description in RNAcentral is "lncRNA (ENSSSAG00000096204.1)". Lineage: Eukaryota; Metazoa; Chordata; Actinopteri; Salmoniformes; Salmonidae. The record is from RNAcentral.